GACGAACGCUGGCGGCGUGCUUAACACAUGCAAGUCGAACGGAAAGGCCUUUUCGUUGGUACUCUAGUGGCGAACGCGUGCGUAACACGUGGGUGUGCUUCCCUUCACUCUGGGAUAAGCCUGGGAAACUGGGUCUAAUACCGGAUACGACCGCACUUUAGUGUGUGUGGUUGCAAGAUUUUUCGGUGUAGUUUCAGCCCGCGGUCUAUCGGCUUGUUCUUGGGUUAAUGGCCUACCAAGUCGCGGGCGGGUAGCCGCACUGAGCGUUUGAUAGGCCACAUUGGGACUGAGAUGAGGCCGAAACUGGGACGGGAGGGAGAAGGGGGGAAGAUUGAACAAUGGGCGCAAGGCUGAUGCAGCGGGGCCGCGGGGGGGAUGACGGCCUUAGGGUUGUAAAAUACAUUUGCCAGGAACGAAGCGUUUUGUGACGGUACCUGGAGAAGAAGCACCGGCUAACUACGUG
RNAcentral lists this ribosomal RNA (463 nucleotides) under uncultured bacterium. RNAcentral describes it as "partial 16S ribosomal RNA". It matches the Rfam family "Bacterial small subunit ribosomal RNA", at positions 28 to 507 of the family's 1533-position model. The record is from RNAcentral.